Molecule: long non-coding RNA, 1914 nt
Filed under: Anser brachyrhynchus (Pink-footed goose)
Lineage: Eukaryota; Metazoa; Chordata; Aves; Anseriformes; Anatidae
Description: lncRNA (ENSABRG00000004222.1)
Source: RNAcentral
CUUGCAGAAAGAUUUUGACAAAUUAGAGGGGUGGGCAAUCACCAAAAAUAUAAAGUUUAACAAGAGCAAGUGCUGGACUGUGCACCUGGGACAGGGCAGCCCUGGCUGUAUGUACAGACUGGAGGAUGAAAGGCCAGAGGGCAGCCCUAUGGAAAGGACUCUGGGGAUUUUGAUUGACAGAGAGUUGAACAUGAGCCAGCAGUGUGCCCUGGCAGCCAAAAGGGCCAACCAUGCCCUGGGGAGCAUCAAGCAUGGCAUUGCUAGUUGGUAGAGGGCAGGGAUUGUCUUUCUCUGCCCUGCACUGGUAUGGCCUCACCUUGAGUACCUCACCUUGAGUACUGUGUGCAAGUUUGGGUGCCACAGUAUAAGAAAGACAUAAAACUAUUAGAGAGCAUCCAAAGGAGGGCUACAAAGAUGGUGAAGGGCCUAGACGGAAAGACGUAUGAGGACUGGCUGAGGUCCCUUGGUUUGUUCAGCCCAGAGCAGAGCAGGCUGAGGGGAGGCCUCAUGGCGGCCUGCAGCUCCCUCACGAGGGGAGCGGAGGGGCAGGCGCUGAGCUCUGCUCUCUGGGGACAGCGACAGGACCCGAGGGAACGGCAUGGAGCUGGGACAGGGGAGGGUCAGGCUGGGGGUUAGGGAAAGGUUCUUCACCCAGUGGGUGGCUGGGCACUGGAACAGGCUCCUCAGGGCAGAAGGAACAGCAUUGAGCCUUCCAGAGUUCACGAAGCAUUUGGACAACACUCUCAGACACAUGGUCUGAUUUUUGGGUGGUCCUGUGUGGAGCCAGGAGUUGGACUUAAUGAUCCUUGUGGCUCCCUUCCAACUCACAAUAUUCUGUGACUCUGUGAUUCUUUUUCUGUCCUGUCUACCUAAGCCAUGUUCCUGGAGCUGACAACAUGUAAGCUGCUGAGUCCUGAAGCCACCAGAACUCCACCAACAUGAACCACCGAAUCAGCCACAAGCUUUCAGCACAAAGAGGGAUCAGGAGACAAGUGGCCGCAUCUCUGCCUGUGAAGACAUCUAACAGUCUGCCUGUAGCUGUGGACGUCUCUGGUAGCCAGCUCUGGAAGGCAAACUGCUGCUGCCAAUGCCACCCGCCAGCCUCCCAGGCACAAAAAUCCAUCGUCAAUAUUGACCUUUGCAGUGGGGGACACUGUGCAUGCACAGUGUGACCCGGGGAGUAGAGAACAUGGUAAGGUCAGGAGAAGAUGUUAUGGUGGGAUUUCACAGCUUCUGAUUCCUUUCAUGCAUCCAACAUCCUCAGGAGAAGGCUGAAGCAGAUGAAAAUCCAAGUGAGCUUUGUGCAAAACAAACUGUCUACAAAUAAUUGAAAGUGGUUUGUAAUACAGUCUUUAAUUCCAAGUCUGUCAACUUGUUAGAAGAGUCAGGAUUUAAUUAUACUUGUGGCAAAACUUUCCCAGCAUUAUUGAGAUUACUGGGCAUGUGUUUAAAGCAGAAAUUCUGCAAACCACUAAUGUUAAUUUUUCUUUAUACAUCUUGGAAAAAUUGAACUUCUGUUUGAAACUCAUGGCAUUUUUUAAUCGUGCUAAAUGGAUGGCCAGCAAAUUGUAGGUCAGUCAAUGUUACAGUGAUUCCCAGUAAAAUAAUGGGAAAUGCUUUUUUUUUGUUUUGUCAGAUUAGUGUGUCAUAGGGAGAUUUCCAUACAGCGUUUAACCUCCUAUUGUGUGACAUUUUGAUUUAACAGUUAAUGCUAUCCAAUAUCAAUAUUGCAGGUACUAAGUGGAUUAAAAAGUAACUGAUAUGUUUUAUGGGUUAUUUCUGAAAGAGAAUGCUUAAUGGAAGAAGGUGUUUCUGAAACGAUCUGCAGUAAUGAGUUCCUGGCCCAGUGCUUUUUUUUUUUGCUUUUUUUUUUUCCUUUUUAAUAAAAUAGGAACUGGCUAAUAAAGCUUGCCA